CGGAGAGGGCGCCUGAGAUGGAUUCUGAGACACUAAUCCAGGCCCUACGGGGCGCAGCAGGCGCGAACACUUCGCAAUGGGGGAAACCCCGACGAGGGAACUCCAAGUGCCAGCACUUUGUGUUGGCUGUUUAUAUUCCUAAAAAGAAUGUAGAGUAAGGGCUGGGUAAGACGGGUGCCAGCCGCCGCGGUAAUACCCGCAGCCCGAGUGGUGGUCACUUUUAUUGGGCCUAAAACGUUCGUAGCCGGUUUGGUAAAUCUUUGGGUAAAUCGGGUGGCUUAACCAUUCGAAUUCCAAAGAGACUGCCAGACUAGGGACUGGGUGAGGUCAGAGGUACUUUUGGGGUAGGGGUGAAAUCCUUUAAUCCUAAAAGGACCACCAGUGGCGAAGGCGUCAGACUAACACAGCUCCGACGGUGAGGAACGAAACCCUGGGGCGCAAACGGGAUUAGAUACCCCGGUAGUCCAGGGCGUAAACGCUGUGGGCUUGGUGUUGGAUGUCCUAUGGGGGCAUUCAGUGCCGGAGAGAAGUUGUUAAGCCUACUGCCUGGGGAAUACGGUCGCAAGGCUGAAACUUAAAGGAAUUGGCGGGGGAGCACAGCAACGGGUGGAGCGUGCGGUUUAAUUGGAUUCAACGCCGGAAAACUCACCGGAGGUGACUGCCACAUGAGAGUCAGGCUAAAGACUUUACUCGAUUAAUAGGUAGAGAGGUGGUGCAUGGCCGUCGUCAGUUCGUACUGUAAAGCGUUCUGUUAAGUCAGAUAACGAACGAAACCCCUGCUGCUAGUUGCUACUCAUCUCC
This 801-nucleotide ribosomal RNA is filed under the name uncultured organism. RNAcentral describes it as "bacterial SSU rRNA". It matches the Rfam family "Archaeal small subunit ribosomal RNA", at positions 278 to 1078 of the family's 1478-position model. The record is from RNAcentral.